Molecule: ribosomal RNA, 304 nt
Filed under: uncultured bacterium
Lineage: Bacteria
Description: partial 16S ribosomal RNA
Rfam family: Bacterial small subunit ribosomal RNA
Source: RNAcentral
CAGCAGUAGCCGCGGUAAUACGAGGGGGGCAAGCGUUGUUCGGAAUUAUUGGGCGUAAAGGGUGCGUAGGCGGCCUGACAAGUCUUGUGUGAAAUCUAUGGGCUCAACCCAUAGUCUGCACGGGAAACUGUCGGGCUUGAGAAUGGGAGAAGUGAGUAGAAUUUCCGGUGUAGCGGUGAAAUGCGUAGAUAUCGGAAGGAACACCUGUAGCGAAAGCGGCUCACUGGACCAUUUCUGACGCUGAUGCACGAAAGCUAGGGGAGCAAACAGGAUUAGAUACCCCUGUAGUCCCUGUCUCUUAUAC